AAAAGGGAAGUGUGGAAAUAUUAAUGGUCAGCGAACGUAUGGAAGUAAAUUAAAUGCCCAACAUGAAGAGACUAGUUGACGAAAUUAUCCACGUGCUUCUUAAAUGGGACUAUGGUUACAGAAGCACGUACUGCGUAUAUGUGCAAUUUAUUUUUUUCUAAAAGCCUCCCUUUCUGGCAGUGGAAUUGCCAAAAGAGAGCCAAGCAAUUAGAUAAAGGCACCAUUCCCCACCCCUUUCAAGCUAGUCAGUGGGUCUCAGGCCCUGUUUCAGACACACUUCCUAGAGGCUGCUGGCCUGGGCACAAACUGAAACAAAGAUUUUAUGGCCUUUUAAAAAUGUGGUUUUUACUGACACGGAAAAAUGACUAUGAUGUCCUAAAUGAAAAGAGGCUCUCCAAUAAUUAUAGCACUGUCCAAAUCAUUACCUAAAGACAUGAAAGGAGGUCAUAAAAAUGUUUCAAUGAUAGACAAUUAAAAUGUAUAAUUAAAAAUAAAUUAUUACAAAAUAUCAUAA
RNAcentral lists this long non-coding RNA (514 nucleotides) under Rattus norvegicus (Norway rat). Its description in RNAcentral is "long non-coding RNA NONRATT012381". The record is from RNAcentral. Lineage: Eukaryota; Metazoa; Chordata; Mammalia; Rodentia; Muridae.